This 429-nucleotide ribosomal RNA is filed under the name Chloroflexota bacterium. RNAcentral's name for it is "Chloroflexi bacterium partial 16S ribosomal RNA". It matches the Rfam family "Bacterial small subunit ribosomal RNA", at positions 355 to 776 of the family's 1533-position model. Lineage: Bacteria; Bacillati; Chloroflexota. The record is from RNAcentral.
UGGGGAAUAUUGCACAAUGGGCGCAAGCCUGAUGCAGCCAUGCCGCGUGUAUGAAGAAGGCCUUCGGGUUGUAAAGUACUUUCAGUCGGGAGGAAGGUGGUAAGGUUAAUAACCUUAUCAAUUGACGUUACCGACAGAAGAAGCACCGGCUAACUCCGUGCCAGCAGCCGCGGUAAUACGGAGGGUGCAAGCGUUAAUCGGAAUUACUGGGCGUAAAGCGCACGCAGGCGGUUGAUUGAGUCAGAUGUGAAAUCCCCGGGCUUAACCCGGGAAUUGCAUCUGAUACUGGUCAGCUAGAGUCGUGUAGAGGGGGGUAGAAUUCCAUGUGUAGCGGUGAAAUGCGUAGAGAUGUGGAGGAAUACCGGUGGCGAAGGCGGCCCCCUGGACAAAGACUGACGCUCAGGUGCGAAAGCGUGGGGGGCAAACAGG